This 429-nucleotide ribosomal RNA is filed under the name bacterium. RNAcentral's name for it is "partial 16S ribosomal RNA". It matches the Rfam family "Bacterial small subunit ribosomal RNA", at positions 355 to 776 of the family's 1533-position model. The record is from RNAcentral.
UGGGGAAUAUUGGACAAUGGGCGAAAGCCUGAUCCAGCCAUGCCGCGUGUGUGAAGAAGGUCUUCGGAUUGUAAAGCACUUUAAGUUGGGAGGAAGGGCUAUUACCUAAUACGUGAUGGUUUUGACGUUACCGACAGAAUAAGCACCGGCUAACUCUGUGCCAGCAGCCGCGGUAAUACAGAGGGUGCAAGCGUUAAUCGGAAUUGCUGGGCGUAAAGCGCGCGUAGGUGGUUCGUUAAGUUGGAUGUGAAAGCCCCGGGCUUAACCUGGGAACUGCAUUCAAAACUGACGAGCUAGAGUAUGGUAGAGGGUGGUGGAAUUUCCUGUGUAGCGGUGAAAUGCGUAGAUAUAGGAAGGAACACCAGUGGCGAAGGCGACCACCUGGACUGAUACUGACACUGAGGUGCGAAAGCGUGGGGAGCAAACAGG